GCCGGGCAUGGUGGCACACUCCUGUAAUCCCAGCGGGAGGCUGAGGCAGGAGGAUCACAAGUUCAAAGCCAGCCACAGCAGCUUAGUGAGGCCCUGAGCAACUCCGUGAGACCCUGUCUCUA
RNAcentral lists this small RNA (122 nucleotides) under Marmota monax (woodchuck). Lineage: Eukaryota; Metazoa; Chordata; Mammalia; Rodentia; Sciuridae. The record is from RNAcentral.